GAUGAAAGAACGUAGUGAAAUGCGAUACGUAGUGUGAAUUGCAGAAUUCAGUGAAUCAUCGAAUCUUUGAACGCACAUUGCACCUCUCGGUAUUCCGGGAGGUAUGCCUGUUCGAGCGUCAUUUGUACCCUCAAGCUCUGCUUGGUGUUGGGUGUUUGUUCCGCCUCUGUGUGUGAACUCGCCUCAAAACAAUUGGCAGCCGGCGUACUUGUUUCGGAGCGCAGCACAUUUUGCGAUCCAGAUCAACGUACAGCGGCAUCCAAGAAGCCUUAUUUAACGCUCUUGACCUCGGAUCAGGUAGGGAUACCCGCUGAACUUAAGCAUAUCAAUAAGCGGAGGA
This 340-nucleotide unclassified non-coding RNA is filed under the name soil metagenome. RNAcentral's name for it is "partial contains 5.8S ribosomal RNA, internal transcribed spacer 2, and large subunit ribosomal RNA". The stretch from base 6 to 121 matches the Rfam family "5.8S ribosomal RNA", at positions 39 to 154 of the family's 154-position model. The record is from RNAcentral.